RNAcentral lists this ribosomal RNA (292 nucleotides) under uncultured bacterium. Its description in RNAcentral is "partial 16S ribosomal RNA". It matches the Rfam family "Bacterial small subunit ribosomal RNA", at positions 505 to 796 of the family's 1533-position model. The record is from RNAcentral.
GUGUCAGCCGCCGCGGUAAGACGGAGGGUGCAAGCGUUGUUCGGAAUUACUGGGCGUAAAGCGCGUGUAGGCGGCUAGCUAAGUCUGAUGUGAAAGCCCGGGGCUCACCCCCGGAAGUGCAUUGGAAACUGGCGAGCUCGAGUCCCGGAGAGGAGGGUGGAAUUCCUGGUGUAGCGGUGAAAUGCGUAGAUAUCAGGAGGAACACCGGUGGCGAAGGCGGCCCUCUGGACGGUGACUGACGCUGAGACGCGAAAGCGUGGGGAGCAAACAGGAUUAGAUACCCCGGUAGUCC